AAAACCUUGGAGACUCAAAACUCCUAUUUAUCCAUAGAACACGUAUAGCAUGGGCAGCACUAUUGCAAGCAGCUUCCCUACCCUAUUCCAUCAAUGUGCCUCAUCUCUGACCUGAAAGAACUAUCUUUAAGGGUGAGAAGUUCAUUGUGUAUAACUAUUUAGCCCGAUUUCU
RNAcentral lists this small RNA (172 nucleotides) under Chelonoidis abingdonii (Abingdon island giant tortoise). RNAcentral describes it as "TUC338 (ENSCABG00000003897.1)". Lineage: Eukaryota; Metazoa; Chordata; Testudines; Testudinidae. The record is from RNAcentral.